AUUGAACGCUGGCGGCAGGCCUAACACAUGCAAGUCGAACGGUAACAGGAAGAAGCUUGCUUCUUUGCUGACGAGUGGCGGACGGGUGAGUAAUGUCUGGGAAACUGCCUGAUUGAGGGGGAUAACUACUGGAAACGGUAGCUAAUACCGCAUAACGUCGCAAGACCAAAGAGGGGGACCUUCGGGCCUCUUGCCAUCGGAUGUGCCCAGAUGGGAUUAGCUAGUAGGUGGGGUAACGGCUCACCUAGGCGACGAUCCCUAGCUGGUCUGAGAGGAUGACCAGCCACACUGGAACUGAGACACGGUCCAGACUCCUACGGGAGGCAGCAGUGGGGAAUAUUGCACAAUGGGCGCAAGCCUGAUGCAGCCAUGCCGCGUGUAUGAAGAAGGCCUUCGGGUUGUAAAGUACUUUCAGCGGGGAGGAAGGGAGUAAAGUUAAUACCUUUGCUCAUUGACGUUACCCGCAGAAGAAGCACCGGCUAACUCCGUG
Molecule: ribosomal RNA, 490 nt
Filed under: uncultured bacterium
Lineage: Bacteria
Description: partial 16S ribosomal RNA
Rfam family: Bacterial small subunit ribosomal RNA
Source: RNAcentral